AACGAACGCUGGCGGCAGGCCUAACACAUGCAAGUCGAGCGAGGACUUCGGUUCUAGCGGCGGACGGGUGAGUAACGCGUGGGAAUGUGCCCUUCUCUACGGAAUAGCCCUGGGAAACUGGGAGUAAUACCGUAUACGCCCUUUUGGGGAAAGAUUUAUCGGAGAAGGAUCAGCCCGCGUUGGAUUAGGUAGUUGGUGGGGUAAUGGCCUACCAAGCCGACGAUCCAUAGCUGGUUUGAGAGGAUGAUCAGCCACACUGGGACUGAGACACGGCCCAGACUCCUCCGGGAGGCAGCAGUGGGGAAUCUUAGACAAUGGGGGCAACCCUGAUCGAGCCAUGCCGCGUGAGUGAUGAAGGCCUUAGGGUUGUAAAGCUCUUUCAGCUGGGAAGAUAAUGACGGUACCAGCAGAAGAAGCCCCGGCUAACUCCGUG
RNAcentral lists this ribosomal RNA (433 nucleotides) under uncultured bacterium. RNAcentral's name for it is "partial 16S ribosomal RNA". It matches the Rfam family "Bacterial small subunit ribosomal RNA", at positions 29 to 507 of the family's 1533-position model. The record is from RNAcentral.